This 253-nucleotide ribosomal RNA is filed under the name uncultured bacterium. RNAcentral's name for it is "partial 16S ribosomal RNA". It matches the Rfam family "Bacterial small subunit ribosomal RNA", at positions 524 to 776 of the family's 1533-position model. The record is from RNAcentral.
GACGUAGGAGACGAGCGUUGUCCGGAUUUACUGGGCGUAAAGCGCGCGCAGGCGGUUAUGUAAGACAGAUGUGAAAUCCCCGGGCUCAACCUGGGACCUGCAUUUGUGACUGCAUAGCUAGAGUACGGUAGAGGGGGAUGGAAUUCCGCGUGUAGCAGUGAAAUGCGUAGAUAUGCGGAGGAACACCGAUGGCGAAGGCAAUCCCCUGGACCUGUACUGACGCUCAUGCACGAAAGCGUGGGGAGCAAACAGG